GAUGGUGUAGUUCAGUCGGUAGAACGGUGGACUGUUAAUCCAUAUGUCGCAGGUUCGAGUCCUGCCACCAUCGCCA
Molecule: transfer RNA, 76 nt
Filed under: Klebsiella phage May
Lineage: Duplodnaviria; Heunggongvirae; Uroviricota; Caudoviricetes; Pantevenvirales; Ackermannviridae
Description: tRNA-Asn
Rfam family: tRNA
About the family: Transfer RNA (tRNA) molecules are approximately 80 nucleotides in length. Their secondary structure includes four short double-helical elements and three loops (D, anti-codon, and T loops).
Source: RNAcentral